Molecule: ribosomal RNA, 253 nt
Filed under: uncultured bacterium
Lineage: Bacteria
Description: partial 16S ribosomal RNA
Rfam family: Bacterial small subunit ribosomal RNA
Source: RNAcentral
AACGUAGGGGGCGAGCGUUAUCCGGAAUCACUGGGCGUAAAGGGCGUCUAGGCGGUCCAGUAAGUCCUGCGUGAAAGCUCCCGGCUCAACUGGGAGAGCGCGUGGGAGACUGUUGGGCUAGAGACUCGGAGAGGGGUGUGGAAUUCCCGGUGGAGUGGUGAAAUGCGUUGAGAUCGGGAGGAACACCAGUGGCGAAGGCGGUUGCCUGGAGCUUUGCUGACGCUGAUGCGCGAAAGCGUGGGGAGCGAUCCGG